UACAGAGGGUGCGAGCGUUGUUCGGAAUUACUGGGCGUAAAGAGCGUGUAGGCGGUUUAGCAAGUCAGAUGUGAAAGCCCAGAGCCUAACUCUGGAAGUGCAUUUGAAACUGCUAGGCUUGAGUACAGUAGAGGUUGGCGGAAUACCCAGUGUAGAGGUGAAAUUCGUAGAUAUUGGGUAGAACACCGGUGGCGAAGGCGGCCAACUGGGCUGUAACUGACGCUGAGACGCGAAAGCGUGGGGAGCAAACAGG
This 253-nucleotide ribosomal RNA is filed under the name uncultured bacterium. RNAcentral's name for it is "partial 16S ribosomal RNA". It matches the Rfam family "Bacterial small subunit ribosomal RNA", at positions 524 to 776 of the family's 1533-position model. The record is from RNAcentral.